AUAGUAAUCCUUUAAGGGGUUAAUGGCAGCCACGGCUGGCCUUAUAUGCAUGUCCCCAAGGGGCACUCCCCCUGGACCUUGUGGGGGACUGCAGCACAAAGUCAAAGAUCAAUGACAAAUGGUGUUUAAAUAAAUGACACUCCCAUAUACAAGCAUACAAUCCCUCCCCUCUGCCUGGGAGAUAAUUGGAUCAGUAACUGUACUAAUUCUAAUCCAAUUAUCUCCAAGCAGAGAAAAAAAACAUACAAAUGUUACUGAUAGCCCUGAUCUGGCUGACCAACAUAUCCAAAAAUCACCCAGAUCAGUUCAGGAAUUUCCUGGAAGUCAUUUAUUUGAUCGACCGCAGGCAUGGUCCCAUGCCCAAAACAGUUCCAGAGAAUCAGGGCUUGCGGACGGUCUAGUUCGGUAGUUUUACAAACAAACUACCAAACAGAGUCAAUAGUCUUACCCUGGAGCUUGUUCCCCUUAUGCAGACAAAUGUUUUUCAACAGUGCCCUUUUAAGUUGUAUAGAACCGAACACAGGUGAUGAUGGAAAUCCAGCGGUGUUCGGGGGUGUCUGUUCGAUUUUAGUUCCAUGAGAUCCAUGCCCAAACACCACUGCCUGCGUUCAUGCGAACAAGAUGGCCGUCACCUCGUGUUUGUCUAUAGGAAUUGCAGCCACUCAGAUGAACAAUUAGAACACUGUGGUGAGAAACGUUCCAAGUUGUUCAUAGGUGUUAACAAGCUCCAUGGUGGUCUCUAUUAUUUUACUUAUUAUGCAAAGAUUUUUUAAAGCCUCCAAUAGAUUUCAAAUUACUAUCAGUAUUCUAUGGCAAUCAUCACUUUAUGAAUUCAAUAUCAGAUGAGUGAGGAUUCAAAUGAUAUAAGGUGUUUAGACCACUUGCGCAAUUAUAUCUAUACGAUAAGGAUCUAUAUAGAUAUGGACGAAUGCUGCUCUACAAGCAGACGCCAACCUUACACUAAAGGUACACUACAGAAUUGAGG
Pelobates cultripes (western spadefoot toad) is the source of this 985-nucleotide non-coding RNA. The record is from the annotation of a GenBank genome assembly. NCBI's taxonomy places the organism in Eukaryota, Metazoa, Chordata, Amphibia, Anura, Pelobatidae.